GUACCUUUGUUUCCCCCCGAUCAGUACUUAUCAGUACUCGCACACUGUCAUCAAUUAGACGCCACCAGAUAAAGGUUCGUUUCUAUAGCACCCAUCAUCACAAAAGGGAAAAAAAAAGGAGAACAAUACGUAAUAACCAUCCAUUGAUAUUCCUAGCCUCGCUGAAAAGCCAAACCCACAACAAAUACUACUCCUACUAUUGCAAAAAUAUCUCUACUGCUGAAAAAGUGAAAAGCCAGACCCACAACAAAUGUUUGCCCAACUGUUUUUCCUCUUGGCUGCAUCUGGGUGAAGGGAAAGCUUGUACAGAACCAGCAACUCCUACCAAGAAACAACUUCCUGAUACUUGAGAGGGAGAGAGAGAGAGAGAGAGAAGGGACAGGUGUAUGGACGGGAGAAUAACUGGGGGGCUCGUCGGACGUCGGUACUGACGGUAUCGGUACAUGAUAACAAGAAAUCUUGCACGACGCUUAUGGGUAGCCCCAUCCCCCGUAUCAAUCUCCAGGGUGUCAUGGUCAUGGAUACACCUUUUAGGUAGAGCAGUCGGAGGAGACGGCUGGGCGUGCAUGCAUGUACCUGUACUGCCUGCCUGUACCCUACUAUACUAACACAGAAAAAGGGCUGACCCGAUCAAGACAAUUUUUGUAGCAGUUGCGAGUACGUAGACCGGACUCCGGCCCGGAGUAGUUGCAUCGGCACGAGUGGCACUGCCAGGGGGCGGAGCCAGGAUUUGAACAUAGGGGGGCCGUGCAAAUCAAAAACAAUCAUGUGUGUCAAAAUAUUACAUGACAAAGGUGUACAUAGCACCAAAAUAAAUAUUUGCGACAAAAAAGCAGAAAAAAUAAAGAGAAAUUAAUUAUUCUCAAGCCCCUAACCUUUACCUGAUCAAUCUAUUUCUUUGGCCAGGAAAAGAAUCACAGUAAAACAAGUAGUUAAACGGGGGCAAAAUUAAUUAGUACUAGAUCCUAACAUCAAAUGACAAACAAUCAGUUACAUAUCUUUUAGCCUCAGACAAGGCGAUCACUUAAACGGGUAAAAUGGUCAUUUAAAUAGAAGGUUAAACCAAAACACCAUACCACUGUUAGUGUUUAAAAGUUGAGUACACGUACUUAAUGACCAUUUAGAAUUUAGACGAAUAAUGAUAGAAACAUAGGAGAUAAGAAAGAUAAUAGGAAGACUAAUGCUAAAUAAUAUAGAUCCCAUUGUUGGAGAUCAAUUCAAAAGGAUUCAACAAAAAAAACGCUGAUUUUCAAUUAACUAGCUAAUUAGAGUGUGUGGUAGGAGACAAACUAAUGUUUGAUAGGCAAUAAUAAAAAUAAAAAAUAUGAAGAAAAUAUUAGAAAGAUCUAGAUUUUAUUUAUAUAAGAAACUAUUAGAGAUCAAUAUGAAAUAAGAAUAAAAAUCUUAGUACAGAUAAUAUCAUUAUAACUAGUUAAUUAGACAAUUAAGCACCUAAUUUAGAGUAUGUAUUAAGGGAGUUAUGAGAAAGUUGGGGGGUGCCAGGCCCCCCUCAGCCCCCCCCUUCCCUCCGCCACUAGGCACUGCUGCAGGAAAAACAUCUCGGCGCGCGUCGUUGGCGGUGCAGCCGCGAGCUAGGCGCGGAGCAUAGGGCU
Molecule: long non-coding RNA, 1613 nt
Filed under: Sorghum bicolor (sorghum)
Lineage: Eukaryota; Viridiplantae; Streptophyta; Magnoliopsida; Poales; Poaceae
Description: long non-coding RNA (SBIC_LNC005751)
Source: RNAcentral